Molecule: long non-coding RNA, 5100 nt
Organism: Ctenopharyngodon idella (grass carp)
Lineage: Eukaryota; Metazoa; Chordata; Actinopteri; Cypriniformes; Xenocyprididae
Exons: 2
Source: RefSeq, a predicted model, not a curated record
UGGGUUUGUAUGGAGGAUUUGUUAGAGCAAGUCAGAUGACAAUGAAAGAGAGAUCAGAGUUUAGCUUAUGCAACACCUCAAGGGAAGAGAAUGUUCUUUAGCCUUGUGGUCUGUGUUUUGUAUGUGUCUAUGUGGCUUCCAGAUGGCAGGGAGGAAAACAGACUGUAGCUGCGGUGGAUGGAAUCCCUGAUGAUCUGGAGAGCUUUUUGCCGGCAGCGACGGUUGUUGAGGUCUUCGAUGGCAAGUAGCCGAGUCCAGUGACGCGCUGGGCAGUUUUGACUACCCGCUGAAGGGCUUUCCGGUCUGAGGAUGUGCAGCUGUCAUACCAGACUGUGAUGCAGCAGAGAAAACGCAGGACAGGCCUACCUGAAGAUGGAGUCGAUGUGUCUUGGACGUCAUGUCUCCUGUCAGACGUGUAAGCUGAGAGACAGGAAUGGCAUGGCCGGUGAAGCCCCAGUGAGCAGGAGGGGUCAUCCUUCAGCUCAAAGACAGGCUGAGAGACAGCCACAUGGCACACAUCUCCAAAUGACAGCCUGUCACUGGCAGGAGAUCCACCAUACGGCCCUGUCACCUCUCACCUGACUGAACUCGGCCCACUGUAUUCUCGAGCUAAGGGGAAACUGCGUCACUGUCAAACUAAUGGUGGUUAAAGGUGAAAAAUUUCCAUUUUUGUCAUAAGCCCCAUCUGUACAUUUAUAUUUUAAGAUCAAGACUUAAUUAUCUAUUCAGAGCGGCCUAUGACCGAGCCUCUGCUGUCAUCAGAGAGGAAGUUGGAUUAGUGGAUGUGAACGUGGUGAUUUCUCAGUGAUAACUGCAUAAAUUAAAUGUCUUGUGAGACUGGGGCAUAUUGUUACACUUUUUACUGAAUAUUUAUUUUAUAUCUAUAGAAAUCUUAAAAGUAUUGGUUUCCAAAGGUCUGGUUCACAAUACAUAUUGUUUCAAAGCAGCUUUACAGAAAAUGCAUGUCAACAUUACAAUUUAGAGUAAUCUGUUAUCAGAGGUGAUUCUGUGCAAGUUAUGUCAUUUCAGGAAAUGUACAUAUACAAAUCAUGCAGUUAGCUAACAAUCUAUUAAUUUAAGCAAUGUAUUAAUUAAGACAGAACAAUGAGCUCAUUGAAGUAAUUAAUACAUGUUAACAAAUGAUUAGGAUAUAUAGAAAAAUUUGCAUUGGUGCAUGUUGAUCCAAAGUCGUGUCAUCUCAAGUCCUCACAGGAGUUGGCGCUGUCUCUUCACAGGUGUUUAGGCAUCUGAAGUCUUAAUAAAAGGCUGGAUCCAAACUGGAGCUGACGUAAACCUGAAUAAGUUGGCAAAACAGUAGCCUCAAAAUUUUUAAGUUAAGAAAUUCGAAGUUUAAGUAUGUAGAACUGGCAGAUUUUUAUUUUGUACUCAUACAUUUUAAUUCUUAACUUGAAAUGUUUGAGUACACUAACUCAUACAUUUAACUUAAAAUGAUCAUGUAACCUCAAUAUAAACAUUUUUAUUAGUGUAAACUUAGCUAGCUAUAACAAGCUAAUUCAGAAAAUGCUAAUUUGCUAACAUUUUAACAAUGGCAUGGUAUAGCACUUGCUGAAUGAGUACAUCAAUAUAAAGCAUUCAACAUACUUACUCUUAAACCAAGCCACACACUUGUCACCAUGAUGGUAACUCUCCAAAAACCCACAUUAACAGAAACUCUUCUAAAUUAGCAUAACAAAACAUUCAUCACUACUAAAUCUCAUACUUAACAUUAAUCUUGCACAAACAAAAAUUAUAUAACACUUAAUUUUAGCAUUUACUCUCCCUUUUGAGUACCAUGGGCAAAGCAUGCUGGGAAAUAGAAAUCCCAGCCCAGUUUCAGGUAAACUUAAGUUCAUCUAAAUUAAAAGAAUUAAGUUCAUAAAACUCAAAUCAAUGAAAAAGUUCAGUUUACUUAAAAUAUAUCAGGUCUAUGAACUUGAAAGAAAAAGAAAGUGCUAUAUACUCAUAAAAGUUAAUUUGACUGAACUAAUUUGUUUAAUUUAAGUUUGUCCUACUCAAAACAAUUAAUUAUUAGGAGCAUUAGGGUUUACAGUGUACUUUGGGAUGGGCAUCCCGAGAUAAAACAGAAAAGCAAAUGGAAAAUAAUUAGCGUAGCUUCUGUAAUUAAUUACUGUAAUUUAAUUACUUUUCCCUUGAAAAAGUAAAGUAAGGGAUUACUCUUAAUUUUUCUGUAAUUUAAUUACAGUUACUUCUGAUUAGUAAUUGCAUUAAAUACUGUAUAGACUAGAACAAUUAUAUAAAACAAUAGUGGAUUUAAUAUCAAAAUGUAAUGUCUAAUGUUAAUGUUACUUGUUUUUAAUGUAACCUUCUUUAAAUACUUUAGUCAGUUCAAGAAUAAUUUAUGCAAUUUUAUAUUAUUUCUUUGAAAGAAUUAAAAGAGCAGUUUCAUGUCUAUUUGUUCAACUGGUUGAGUUUGAUAUGGGAUUUAAAAAGUAAUAAGUAAUGCGAAUCAUUUUUAGAGAGAAUAAUUAGAACAGUAACCUAUAAUUACACUAUUGAAGAUGUAAUUAGUAGCUAGUAACUCUUUUAGAGUAUCUUACCCAACACUGGACGUGAAUUGUAUGAGACUGUAAACACUGGAAAAAGUGUGCUAUGGAGGUUGAUCAUGUUAUAUAGAAAGGUAAAAGUUUCCAGACUAACUAUAUUUAUGGACCUUGAUUUAUCCACUUGCACGGUUUAGCUAACCAUGUCGAGAAAUCCAGGCCAAGAAUGGAUUGUGAUUGUCCUGUGCCAUGUGCAAGUGGAAAUACAACUAUUUUUUACUGUGUUCAAAAUAAUUCACCCAUAUGGUGGAAAAGCACUUUAUAGUUCAGACGUGUUGAUGCUUUGCGAUAGUGGAGCAUGUUGCCACACUAUGGGGUAAGUUGUUACUAUGAGAACUGACUAUGCAUGAAAUAUCUGAUUUUUGGGUACAUAAUGAGUUUUCAGCAAAAUAUAAAUUGAUUAUGAAAGACCAAAACAGCAUAAACAUUUGAACACAUGUGACAACUUGCUCCAAUAUAAAUGUACAGUAUAAACGUUGUCCUGAGAACACAGUUCGACCUUACUGCACUACAAUCAUUAUAGAGUUGAAUUGUGCUUUAAUGUAUCCUAGCAUGAUUUUAAUGUGUUUAUUUAACAAGAAUAUGAUGUUUUAGCAUAGAAUUACCAAAAUAUGAUUUAUAAUAUAACAAAUGAAGCCAACAUUUUUGGUUUCAUAUAUUCAUAAUUGAACUUUUGACUCUAGACCUUAUAGUUACUUGUGACAACUAGCCCAAAUGUCUCCUGUUGUCUAGUAGCUACACAAUUGUUCCUAAAAAAGGUUUCAUACUGUUGUAUUGGAGGCAAUACUGAUUUAAUUUUACAGCCUCCUGCAGUUACACUGAAUUAUUGCAGGGUUAAGAAUAACAUCCUGAUUGUGUCAUUGAUCAACACUUCCUAGAGUAUAAGGCUUGUAAUCUCUCUGCCUGAUCAAUACCGAGGCAGAAUGAAUUGCUAAAAGCAGUAUUUGCAGAUACUUUCUCUAGUUUGUUUUAAUCAACAUCAUCACUUUCUCUCCGUUUUUAACAUUUAUAAUACACCCAGGUGCUGCCAUCUCCAACGCAUUCACCUCACCAUAGAUCUCUUCAAAACAGAUUUGUGAGUCUAUCCGAGACAAAUAACCGGAGUUGGAGAAGGUGAGCCAUGCUGUUUUGACACACUGUUAGAACAUGAUGUUACAGAGCCAGACACCUGACUUGGGAAAAAGGUCAUCUGUUCAUCAUAGAUCAAAGUGGAGGACAGCACCUCUCAAAACAGUGGCAGAAAGCGGGCAGGAGGAGAUAAAAUGAAAUCUUCACAACAGGACUGAUGGACAUGUGGCUCAAAUACACCCUCCUGUGAGCUGUAGGGAGGGUGGGUGUCCUGCUGGCAGAUGUCCCUUCUCGUUUCAGAUGCUGCUUGACAAGAUUGCUCUGAGGUGGGGAAGACCAAAGAGGUCUGGGUAAUGAGACAGUUGCCUCCUUAAUGUUUGCCCUGACAUCGUUGCACAAGCACAAAAACAAGAAGACAUAUAGUUACAGCCUUGUGAGAAUUUGAAAGUACUGAACAGAAUGAACUGAGCAAAGUAACAAGACUUAUUUGCAGAAAUCAAACAAUGAGCAAUGAAAUAAGAUUUGCUAAAAUUUCAAUUUCCUAUUCCAUUUCAUUACGAAAACAGUUUCACUUGAUUAAUGUUAGUUUAAAUGAACGCUUCUGUGUGUUUGGACAGACAUGUGCAUAAGCAUUCUUUUCUUUUGUUCGUUUGCAACUGUGGUUUGUUUAGUUUAGUGCUCCUGACCUCAGUCAACAAACCCUCUCCAUCCCAUUCAUUGAGGACCAAUACAAGGAUGUCACUGGCAGACCUUGCCUUGCAUUUGAUUUAUGUUGCUCUAAAAGUAAAAAUCAAAGAUCCUCUCUAAUGCAGCUCUGUGGCAGUGGGAUGAUAUAUGAUGCAGCAGAGCAGUUAAAUGAGAGCACUAUGUCUCUGCCUGUGUUUUAAUGGCACGGUCAGAACUCUGACCCCACAUCUGAAUGACUUUACAGUACUUAAAAAGACAUCCUCAGACAGUGCUGAUUUGUAAAAGAAAGUCCUCAGGGCAAGCUUGUUUUGGCCAUGCAGUUUUGAUUACUCAAGGGACUGUUUCCAGGAAAUACAACAGAGAUGCACAACAAACGUCUUUUAUUGGUUUUCAGUAGAAUUUGACUUUAAUAAGAGGCUUAUAGAAUAGCAAAACAUUGAGACAGAAAUGUUGUACAUUUUUAAUUGUAGCAAGUUAUUUUGUUUCUCAGUGUUUGAUGCAGUAACGAAUCAGAUUUGCUUUUUUAUUCAAAGUGUGAUAAAAACACUAUACGUGUUAGGAUAAUCAUGUAUUACUGAAGUAUGAGUUGUGGUAUUUAUAACUAUACACAAAACUAUGUCAAUCACAAUUUUGGGUAACACUUUAUAACUUUCAAGUCCUUUACAGGUCAGUUCAUGUACAUUAAAUAUGAAUAUCUGAUAAUAUAACCUAAAAAAGUAAGUUUCAUGACACAAAUAUCUGUAUGUAGGGUUAUUUACAUAUCAAAUAAACAUGUUUUUGAUGA